Molecule: transfer RNA, 75 nt
Filed under: Caudoviricetes sp.
Lineage: Duplodnaviria; Heunggongvirae; Uroviricota; Caudoviricetes
Description: tRNA-Phe
Rfam family: tRNA
About the family: Transfer RNA (tRNA) molecules are approximately 80 nucleotides in length.
Source: RNAcentral
GCUCCUGUAGCUCAGUUGGUAGAGCAGAGGACUGAAAAUCCUUGUGCGCUGGUUCGAUUCCAGCUGGAAGCGCCA